AUGGCUGGUCCACUAACGAUUAAAGAUUGUACUUGUUCGAUAUUUUAGCUUUUGUUUUUUAUUUGCAAUAAUAUCUAUUUAUUUAUUUUGUAUACUUUAGAUAUCAUAUAGUGGAUUUGUUUUAGGUGUUCAAAAAAAAAGAUAUCAUAUAGUGGUCAAACCAAAAUCAAAAGAAAGGGGGCUCUCUCUUAACUCUCUUUGUAUCUUUCAGAGAGAGAGUCCGACUCGAUGGUCGUUCGGCGGUUGUGUCCGGCGAUAUGUCCCCUCUGUAGGGGAUGAGGUUCUGACAUCUGUUGCUUAGUUAGAACCCCUGUUCGAAAACGCGGACGCUUAGGCGCGACUCGGAGCUGAGGCAAUUCGGUGACUCAAAUCGGUGGACCGCACAACAUCCACGUAAAUCUGAAAUGCGGCCGCCUAGUUCAAGACAAAAUUGUGGGCCAACUGUUCUCUGUUCGCGAAUUCAAGGUGUAUGCUGCAAGAUCUAAUUCCUAACCCAUCUUCCCAAUUCAUGGUGAUUACUUAUUUGACCUGAAGACAAAAAGGAUGAAGACUUGCAAUCUUUUAUUGUAGUUUGUGUUUUCAAGAUCAAAACAUUCUGUUUUUUUUUUUGUUUAUCUCAUGAAUUGGAAGUUUCUUUUUGUGACUUUUGAACCAAAUGUAUACUGGAAAAACAAUGUUAUUCUGUAAAAGUUAUAUAAGCAUGUAUUAAAACAUAUAUUUGGUACUUAAACAUAUUAUAAAUAUAUUAAAUCGUAUUAAAAACUAGGCUCCGCGUAUACCCCGAUUACUCCCCGAUUUUUUGGUAACUCGCUAGGUCCGGAGUAGCCGCCCGACUAGCGCCUAGCAUAGUUCGGAACAGGGGUUAGAACAGACUGGUCGGCUUUUGGCUCCGGUGGUAGGCAUUCUUCUCUGACGUUCCCACUGGCUCUUGGCUCCGGCGUCUCACUUACUUCUCCGGUGAUGACGACGGCUUCUCUCCGGGAUCCUUUCCCGGUCUGGUUCGAUCUCUGACGUCUCGACUUCCGCUGCGCAGUCGCCUUUGUUCCAAUUUCCGCUUGAUCUUUCCUUCUCUCGGGUAGAGUUGUUGCAUCUUCAAGCUUCCUUCUAUCAUCAAAGGUGCCUCGUGAUUCUUGCAGGAACAUCGUUAUUGGAAGCGUGGUUGUCGAUUGAUGAAGCAGAGAUCUUUUGGCAUGGACUUUGACGUCUUUGGUGGCUUUGUUUUUCGGAUAUGUUCUCGGAUUGGGCCGAUUUGAUGUGAUCUUGUUAGUCAGGCUCCGGCGUUUUAGCCUUUGUCGGUGUGGCCUCUUAAUUGCUAAAGUCGUCCGACAGCUUCUCCUCAUCUAUGUCCUGCUCUGGUGUGUUCCGGUGGACUGUCGGUGAGCUGCUCCGGUGAAGAUUUUCCGGUCGUUGGUGACGGGUGUCGAUUGUGCUUCCACGUGCCCCUCUAUCUCUCUUCCGUAAGACGUGUGUUGAGGUUGACUCGAACUCCAUUUCUCACUUAGGCUAUUUUGUGGUUGGGUCCUCUGGAGCCUCUUGUUUUUUCUUUGUUUUCGUUUGGCUUGGCUUUUGGGCCUUUUGUGUUGUAUAGCUUGGGCUUUAUCCUUUAUAAUAUUAUCAGAUGACAAAAAAAAAGAUAUCAUAUAGUGGUAUUUAGGUUGUAUAACAGAAGGUUUCAACUCUUCUUUCAGAUUCAUGACUAACCCAGUGUGAAUAUGUGUGUGUGUAAAAUUCAUUGUGGUAGAAAAUUUCUAAUAGGCUUGUAAAUCUGUGUAUGUGUAAUUUUCAAAAUCUGCUAUUUCGGAGAAUUACAUUAAUUUUUAUGAAAAACAAAUCGAAACUAUGCUAAAACAUACUCCCUUUGUUCCAUAUUGUAAGUAGUUUUAGUUAAAAGCACUAAUAUUAAGAAAUUGUUGCUUUUGUAAAAAAUAGUAUUUAAUUAAUAAACUCAACCUAUUAUAAAAAAACUAGCAUUAUUUGAUUGGUUACACAAUAUCCAACAAAAAGAAAAUGUGCAUUGAAAUAUGAAAACUACUUAUAUUGUGAAACAAACAUUUUUUGCUAAAACUGCUUACAAUAUAAAACAGAGGGAGUAUAUCAGUAGCUAAUUUGUUUAUCAGAAUUAGUCCUAAUGUAAUAAUGAAGUGUUUUGCCUGUUGGUGGUGGUCGCUUACUAUGCUUUUGGGAAAACAUUUUGAUCUGCCUUUACUCUCCGGUGUUAUGUUUAUAAUGCUUAUUCAAACAGUGUGUACUUCCAAAUCUAGUAAGAGAUACAUAUGAGGUUUAGCAACUUGAAAUCUUAGGAUAAAACCAUCUAACCAAAUACCACAACACACAUGGAUGUUUGCAAAUUCAACACGAGUUUCAGGUUCCAUAGCUUAUGAUCAUCUCUGAUAAUGUAUCAUGUGUUUGAGGGCUCUUCGUCUUUUGUUCUGUGUGGUCCUGUGGAUCCAAGAAUCAUGUCAAUACUUGAUAUCGGGCAGAGAUAUGUCCAAAAAAUCGAUGAAACUAGCAAGUCAGUUGCACUCGCCUCCAGGAGUUGUACCAUAGCAGACAGACAACUAUAGUGUGGAAGAUUAUGUAGGAGAUGCUCAAAGAGUGGACUUUGUUCCUACAAAUAUUGCUACAAGCCUCUAGCUAUCUUCUAUAAUUCUAUUGCAUGUUGGCUUGCUUAGAAAACUUUCACAGGGAAUACUUUUUGUUGAUGUUUAGGGCUUUUUCUUUCAUGAUCCAUUCACUUGUUGACAUUUCCUUCGCUGCACUUUAAUUAAAUCACUUUCCCGUUUCGAAAAGAUGACAAGCCAAGUGAUACCUUAUCAUGAUAAUAUCAUCACUCUGAAACAUUCGAACAUAUACCAAAUACAACACACUAUAUAUAUCACAUUGGGAAGGCCAUGAGAAGCAUGGUCCGUCCUCCCAACAUAAAACUGUCUCACAAGAUAUACCCCAAACAACUUUACUUGAAUAAUAAUAAUAUUACUUACCAAUCCAUUUAAGAAUCAUGGACAAAAAAGGAUGGCUGACACGUAAAUAACAAACAACAAUGAAAGCAGAAAGAC
This is a long non-coding RNA of Brassica napus (rape), 3056 nucleotides long. RefSeq lists it as uncharacterized. The transcript has 2 exons. The record is from RefSeq and is a predicted model, not a curated record. NCBI's taxonomy places the organism in Eukaryota, Viridiplantae, Streptophyta, Magnoliopsida, Brassicales, Brassicaceae.